This is a non-coding RNA of Sturnus vulgaris (Common starling), 803 nucleotides long. The record is from RefSeq and is a predicted model, not a curated record. NCBI's taxonomy places the organism in Eukaryota, Metazoa, Chordata, Aves, Passeriformes, Sturnidae.
UAUUCUUGUGAUUAGAUUUUGUAUUACACAGUCUGCACCCUCCUGUUUAAGAAUCUGAAAACAGGCAUUUUCUGGUUUACAUUGAAACACAGGAGUCUUGAAUAUCUCUUCAGCUGCUUCCUAAUGUUUGUUCCACAGGAAGGGAGUUAGUUCGUAGCACAGUGUGCUUUAUUGUAUCUGCAUCAGCAGAGCAGAUAAGCUCAGCCUCUCUUCAUCUGAAAAAGGAACAGAGGAGUAGCACCAGGAGACAGUGCAAUACUUCAGGAUAUUGUGAAGAUUUCAAGCAAUAAGACAACUUUCAGGGCCCUCUUGGAUUGCUUCUGUCUAGCUGUAUCCAGCCAUUGCAGCAAUCCAGCUGUGUGAGUGUGAUUUGCCUCUUAAUCUGAGAUUUCAAAAAUCAGACUCCAUCUGCUGAAGAAUUCAAAGAUCUUGGAUUUGAGAGGCUAUUUAUGAACAUCAAACUGUGGUCCAUUUCUCCCAGGAGUAUCGUGCAGCUGCACAACUGCAGCUCUUCAACAGCAGGGGAAGUAUGAGAUAUCCACAGACACCAGUAAAAAACCGGGCACAUGAAGGCCACACAAGGUACACAGAGCCAAGAGUCACCAGCACCGCCAGGGGAAAGGGUUUUUAUGCUCAUUGUGGAACACUCUGAGAAAAUGGAAAUUCCGAUGUGCACAGGGUGCAAGUUGUUUGGCCCAGCUCAGAUUUGUGCAUCACAUCAGUGCUGGUGAGGACUGUGCUCAGGCAGUGCCAUGUGAGGCUGUAGAGAAUUCCUUCUCAGAGAAUGGAUUUCCUCACUACUG